AGUAUGCUUUAAAUUUUAUAUACUAAAAUUGCAACGAUACAGAGAAGAUUAGCAUGGCCCCUGUGCAAGGAUGACACACAAAUUCGUGAAAUGUUCCAUAUUUUU
Molecule: small nuclear RNA, 105 nt
Filed under: Prolemur simus (greater bamboo lemur)
Lineage: Eukaryota; Metazoa; Chordata; Mammalia; Primates; Lemuridae
Source: RNAcentral